This is an RNA transcript of Triticum urartu, 3831 nucleotides long. RefSeq lists it as uncharacterized. The record is from RefSeq and is a predicted model, not a curated record. NCBI's taxonomy places the organism in Eukaryota, Viridiplantae, Streptophyta, Magnoliopsida, Poales, Poaceae.
AUCUCAGACAACCCAAAUCACCACAUCCAAACCCUAGCUCACGGCGAUCUCUCCGUGCCCUGAUCCCCGCCGCCGCCGAUGUCGUUGGACCUGCCGCCCGUGGGGCCCUCUGAGGCCGCCAGGCCGUCAGCCUUCCCACCGAAGGAGUCGGAGCCCUCCGGCACUGAGCCACCGUCGCCGCCGUGCUAAGGGCCGCCCAUGAGAAUAAUGCAUUGUGGGUCAACAACUUGCCCACGCACACAAGCGAGGAAGACGUCAUGGCGGCCAUCACACCAUACGAGGCGCUCGACUAUGUCGCCACACGCGCUGGCUCCGGCAGCUAUGUGUUCAUCCUUUUCCAAUCUGUCGCCGAGUCCCGAGCCGCCCUCGAGGUGCUCCACGGGUCCAAGGUCAAGAGUGCAUUCAUCUGGGUCGAGUACACCCGGCCGUUUAUUUAGGCGGUGUAGGAUGAGGCCUCCAACAGCUCUGAUAUAUGUAAUUAUUCGAGCGGCGACACAUGGGAUCAACGGAGACGGGGUGGUCUAGCAGAGGCAUGCAGGUGGCUGGGGGAUGGCGGCCCUCAGGGUCCACUGGAGCGUGGCAGGCGAGGCCCUUGAGUCAGGAUGGCAAUCGGGUCGGGUUUCACCGGGCCGACCUCUACCAAAUCCAUGUCUGAAUAGCUAAUCAGGUCAACCUACGACCCAACCCCAGGGUUUGAUGGAUGACCCAUGCCCACACCCGAUGGGUGACCCGACUCAUUCGGGCACCCAUCGGGUCCAUGAAAACAUUUCCAUUUUUUAAUCCGCCUAUCAUGCAACAAGUUCAAACAAAAUCAGUGAAUGACCUAGCAGGAAGAGAUGGAAGUGGGUUCCUCGGCUGAGGUGGCCGCCAGGGAGAAGCCGCUGGUGCGUAGGGAGGUCUGGAUGUCCGGAUUUUCUUUCUAACUGCAUGUCAUCUGGGUUGGGGGAAGAAGGGUCAGGUUCAGCAUUUUUUCUGGAUCUUCAGUAAAUCUUUUUCUGGAUUGGGGAACAAGGGUUGGAUCAUGCAACUCUUUUUUUCUGGAUCUGUAGCGAAUCGUUCUGUACUACCACUUAUAUAUGGAUGGUAGUCGUGGGUGAUUGUUUUUCCAAAUCUUCAGUAGAUCGUUUAUUUAAUUGGGGAACAAGGCUCGAGUCGGGAAGCUUUUUUUAACUAUGAUCUUUAGCAAAUCAUUUUCUACCACUUAUGGAUUGUUUUUCGAGAUCUUUAGCAAUUCAUUUUUCGGAUUGGGGAACAAGGGUCAGUUUGGCAAGCUCUUUUUUCCCAAUUCUUAUGCAAAUCAUUUUCUACCACUUAUGGAUGGCAGUGGUGGGUACUUGGUUGCAACUUCAGGGACAAGGAAGGUCACGACGGACAUAGAGAAACAUGAAUCCCUUUAUCAAUGUUCAAGAAAGCAUUGUUAAGCGAUGCUUAAGCACUGAGCAAUGGAAAAAUGCUUCGAUAUGGCCACAAGUGGUAGGCUAAGUGUUUUUCUAAAUUUUGGCCAGAAUUUGGCUAUUUUUGAACUGCUUCUGCUUAGCUGCUUGCGCAAUAAUGAAAAUAUGUCAUUUCUGUUAUUAUUAGGGUCUAUACGGGAGUUGUUUCCUUCAGAUUCUGGCCAAAUCAUGGAAAUAUGAUCUGCAUUUGGUUAUGUAUAUUUGAACUAAACAACAUUUUAUUUGUCAUUUUGCUUGUUGUGUGAACCUGGUGUGUAAUAUCUGUGUUGUGAAGGUUAUUUUAGAUACUACUUCAACUACAUGUGCCAUGUUUCCUAUUUUCCUGUGCAUACUAUUCAAAACAAACAAAUUCUUGCCAUGUUUGAAAAAAUGCUCAAGCGCGCCUAAGCGCCCAUUGCUCUAUGUUGCGGCCUUCCGUUGUUUUGAAUAUUAUCCUUUAUUAGUAGGUAUAGAAAUACUCCUAGAUUGGUUAUUGUUCCUUGUUCUAGGGUGAAAUUGUUAUGCUGGUGUUGUAUAAACAUUUAUGCCCUCAUGAUAUUUAGUGGUGUUUGUCGAUUGGCUUUUACAAGCUAGAGCUGUUAGGAACCUACCAGCUAGAGGAAUUAGUCCAUCUAUCUCAAAGUAGGAGGCAGAGGAGGAGUUUCAAAAGUUUGGAAAGAUUGAAGGUGUUGCAUUCUCCCAUGAUCAACCAUUUGCAUACAUCCACUUUCAGAAGCUGGAAGAUGCCAUUUCUGGCCAUAGAGCCAUGAAUGGGACAGAUUUAGGGGGCAAGGAAUUGUGUGUUGAUUUUCAAAGGUCCAGAGCAAGAGCGGUAUGCAUCUAUUAUUGUUGACUGAGUUUGUGAAGUGCUUCUAGGCUCCAGUUUUUCAAGGGAUGAUGCCUUAUUAUUUAGUUAUUUGUACUGAUUUUGAUAGGAAUGGUCGGAAGCAGGCAACUUCAGCAGUAGAUGAUCAUUUCCACCUGGUUAAAUGGGAGUUGGUUUUGCUAGAGUACGAAUGAGAGAGGCAAAAGUUCCUACCAAUGUUCUCUGGGUGGGUUUACCCAAUACACAUUAAAUUAACAAGGAGGCACUAAGGCGGGCUAUGGCAGCACAUGGUGUGGUUACAAACAUCAAAGUUUUUCCAGAAAGGUAGUGUGCUUUUAUGGAGUUUGCAACCAUUGAAGGAGCUUCUAAUGCUAAGAAUCUUCUAGAUGAGCCUCUUUUCAAUAAUACAAGGAUUCAUGCUGUUUUCUCUAUCAAUGGGCUUGAUAACCAAACACCGCUUGUUGGGUUCCCUAGAUCAGAGAUGUACAAUAAUACUCCACAUGCCGCACGUGAUUAUUUUUGUGCUGGUCGGUCACAGUAGUCAUGGCACAUCACAAGGGUAUGAUCCUCGACGUGGAAGAUCAAGAUACUUGGACUAUGGUGCAAUGCAAAUCACUCUUGGUAUCCUUCAAACACUUGAAGUUGGCUCAUCUUUUUUGUCUAGACAUUCUUCUCAUAGUGCGCUUGAUCCGAGAGAUGCCAAAAGGGUGAGGCUGGAUGCUGGCAUCGACCCUUACCAUGUAAGGGCAGGCACUGAGGCUUUUCAGCCGGGAUGGGUAGUUUUUUCUUAACCUUGAUCUUUAGCGAAUCAUUUUCUAACACUUAUGGAUUGUUUUUUCUGGACCUUUACCAAAUUGUUUUCGGGAAUGGGGAACAAGGGUCAGGUCGGGCAGCUCUUUUUUUCCUCAGAUCUUUAGCGAAUCAUUUUCUAUCACUUAUGGAUGGCAGUGGUGGGUAAUUGUUGGCAACUUUAGGGGCAAAGUUAGGACAAACAGGUAGAAUCACGAAUCCAUUUAUCAGUGUUCAAGAAAGUGUUGUGGUAGUGAAGUAUAUUAUGGUCAUUUGUGUUGUGGUAGAGACACUUUCCUUUAUUAGGGCCGGGACGGACGGGCAGAAGCACGAACCAUAGAUACAUAAAUGUGUGAUUAUUUGCAUUAUGGUAGAGACACUUUCUUUUAUGAGGGUCAUUUAUAUUAUUUCUAUUUGUGGUAGUGAAGUAUAUUGUGCCAAUGAGAUAUUAUAUGCAUUCCUUCUUUUUGAGACGUUUGUAUGAGGGGAAGUUAUUACUAACCAACUCCUUGAAAUAAAUUAAAAUGUGUAUAUGAAGGCCAUGUUUUUUGCGAUUAUUUUUCUCAAGGUGGCAUAAUUAGAUGGCCCACCCACACAGCAAACCAUCCCUGCCCCACUCAUAAGAUAUACAGGAUGCAUACAAUAUCUUGUAACUAUGGAAUGCUCUGAUUUAAGUUUGAAUGAUGUACUAAUACAGAAUAAUCCUUGGUUAGUCAUAGUUGUUUAUUUCUUGAGUGAAAUUGCUCCACUCAUGAGGUUAUGUUGUGUAAUGAGUUGUGCACA